RNAcentral lists this ribosomal RNA (714 nucleotides) under uncultured bacterium. Its description in RNAcentral is "bacterial SSU rRNA". It matches the Rfam family "Bacterial small subunit ribosomal RNA", at positions 8 to 709 of the family's 1533-position model. The record is from RNAcentral.
AGAGUUUGAUCCUGGCUCAGGACGAACGCUGGCGGCGUGUCUAACACAUGCAAGUCAGGGAGAAAAGGGUAGCAAUAUCCUGAGUAAACCGGCGAACGGGUGAGUAACACGUAGGUAACUUGCCUUAGAGUUUGGGAUAACCCCGCGAAAGUGGGGCUAAUACCGAAUGAUGCGAUUUAUCCGCAUGGAUGAAUUGUCAAAGUUUCGAGAAAUCGAAACGCUCUAAGAUAGACCUGCGCCCGAUUAGUUAGUUGGCGAGGUAAGAGCUCACCAAGACAAUGAUCGGUAGCCGGCCUGAGAGGGUGAUCGGCCACACUGGGACUGGGAUACGGCCCAGACUCCUACGGGAGGCAGCAGUGAGGAAUAUUGGUCAAUGGACGAAAGUCUGAACCAGCAACGCCGCGUGAGGGAUGAAGGUCUAAGGAUCGUAAACCUCUGUUAGAGGAGACGAAUAAUCUCGAAUUGGCGAGAUUUGACGGUAUCCUCAGAGAAAGCCCCGGCUAACUCCGUGCCAGCAGCCGCGGUAAUACGGGGGGGGCUAGCGUUGUCCGGAAUUAUUGGGCGUAAAGGGCGCGUAGGCGGAAUUGUAAGUCAGUGGUUAAAUUUCGGGACUUAACUCCGAAUCUGCCUCUGAGACUGCGAUUCUUGAGCGCGAAAGAGGAAAGCGGAAUUNCCGGUGUAGCCGGUGAAAUGCGUAGAUAUCGGGAAGAACAC